RNAcentral lists this long non-coding RNA (799 nucleotides) under Pongo abelii (Sumatran orangutan). Its description in RNAcentral is "lincRNA". Lineage: Eukaryota; Metazoa; Chordata; Mammalia; Primates; Hominidae. The record is from RNAcentral.
CUGCUGCUGGGAGCUUGAGCUGAGAUGGACUGGUCUUCAUGGGCGCCCAAGGCGCUGGGUGCAGCUUUCCCCGAGACCCCCAGAUGGAAAGGAGGGAAGGAGGAACCCCACACACUCGCCUUUUGGGAGAAGAUCGGCGCGCACCCCAGAGUGCCCCAAGCCUUUGGAAUCUGCCUGCUGAGCGGAGCGCGCGAGCGUGGUGGACAGGUCCCGAACUUGGCCAGCGGGCUUUCUUGGCAACUUGCUUUGCGCAGUUCUCCAUGGAACCCUGGACCCACUGUGCUCCCGGCGCCUUGCCUUUUUUUUCCUUUUUCUUUCUCUCACUCUCUCUUUUUAAAUUUAUGAACUCGAAAUGAAGCGGAAAGCAGAUAUGCGCGUCAGCAUACUUUGGCGGACCAGUCCCAGGGCUUACCAGUCCCAUCGUAUCUCUGACGGUGCAUAUCAGGAUCCCCAUUGAUCAGAUGCUGAAACCAUGGCUUAGAAUAGCUGCGAUGAAGCUGAGCUGCAAUUCAAACCCAGACACAGCUUUCUACAGAGAAGCACCUUUCUCCAGAUCUUCAUUGCCAUUUUGGACACACAGCUCCAAACCCAAAAUGUGUCCACUGGAUCAACCCACGAUGCAAACAACUGCUUUCUAAGGAAAAGCCAGGUUUCUAGGAGGCAGCCCACUUCUGAUGUGUCCUUAAGUUAACAGGCUGCGGUGGACAGCAUGUGGUGGGUGGAGAAAGAUGGCAGAUGAGAAAUUCAAGGAGAUUCACCACAGAGCAGCUUUCUGGUUUCAGCUGUUCUGGGGUGCCAU